RNAcentral lists this ribosomal RNA (520 nucleotides) under uncultured bacterium. RNAcentral describes it as "bacterial SSU rRNA". It matches the Rfam family "Bacterial small subunit ribosomal RNA", at positions 8 to 518 of the family's 1533-position model. The record is from RNAcentral.
AGAGUUUGAUCCUGGCUCAGGAUGAACGCUAGCUACAGGCUUAACACAUGCAAGUCGAGGGGCAGCAUAAUCGAAGCUUGCUUGAUUGAUGGCGACCGGCGCACGGGUGAGUAACGCGUAUCCAACCUUCCCCUUAGUAGGGCAUAGCCCGGCGAAAGUCGGAUUAAUACCCUAUGUUAUCCGUCGAGGACAUCUGAAGUGGAUUAAAGAUUUAUCGCUAAGGGAUGGGGAUGCGUCUGAUUAGGUUGUUGGCGGGGUAACGGCCCACCAAGCCUACGAUCAGUAGGGGUUCUGAGAGGAAGGUCCCCCACAUUGGUACUGAGACACGGACCAAACUCCUACGGGAGGCAGCAGUGAGGAAUAUUGGUCAAUGGGCGAGAGCCUGAACCAGCCAAGUAGCGUGCAGGAUGACGGCCCUAUGGGUUGUAAACUGCUUUUGCAUGGGAAUAAAGUCGGGGACGUGUCCCCGUUUGUAUGUACCAUGAGAAUAAGGACCGGCUAAUUCCGUGCCAGCCGCGGC